RNAcentral lists this ribosomal RNA (395 nucleotides) under uncultured bacterium. RNAcentral describes it as "partial 16S ribosomal RNA". It matches the Rfam family "Bacterial small subunit ribosomal RNA", at positions 523 to 918 of the family's 1533-position model. The record is from RNAcentral.
AUACGUAGGGUGCAAGCGUUAAUCGGAAUUACUGGGCGUAAAGCGUGCGCAGGCGGUUUUGUAAGACAGUGGUGAAAUCCCCGGGGUCAACCUGGGAACUGCCAUUUUGACUGCAAGGCUGGAGGGCGGCAGAGGGGGAUGGAAUUCCGCGGGUAGCAGUGAAAUGCGUAGAUAUGCGGAGGAACACCGAUGGCGAAGGCAAUCCCCUGGGCCUGCACUGACGCUCAUGCACGAAAGCGUGGGGAGCAAACAGGAUUAGAUACCCUGGUAGUCCACGCCCUAAACGAUGUCAACUGGUUGUUGGGGAUUUAUUUUCUCAGUAACGAAGCUAACGCGUGAAGUUGACCGCCUGGGGAGUACGGCCGCAAGGUUAAAACUCAAAUGAAUGGACGGGG